This 27-nucleotide small RNA is filed under the name Bombyx mori (domestic silkworm). RNAcentral describes it as "ovarian small RNA-25767". Lineage: Eukaryota; Metazoa; Arthropoda; Insecta; Lepidoptera; Bombycidae. The record is from RNAcentral.
UCAGUACGAGGUUGUGGCGGACUGCCG